Molecule: ribosomal RNA, 1458 nt
Filed under: uncultured archaeon
Lineage: Archaea
Description: bacterial SSU rRNA
Rfam family: Archaeal small subunit ribosomal RNA
Source: RNAcentral
UUCCGGUUGAUCCUGCCGGAGGGUAUUGCUAUCAGAGUACGACUAAGACAUGCAAGUUUUACGGUGCAGCUUUGCACCGUAGCAGACGGCUGAGUAACACGUAGAGAACCUUCUCUUGUGACGGGGCCAAUCUCGCGAAAGUGAGAACAAUUCCCGAUAGGAGAGAGCAACUGGAACGUUGUUUCUCCCAAAGGCGCGCUGAAAUGCAGGCGUUGCGCACAAGAAUGGCUCUGCGUCUGAUUAGGUAGUUGGUGAGGGUAACGGCCCACCAAGCCGAUAAUCAGUAGGGGCUAUGGGAGUAGUAGCCCCCAGACGGGCACUGAGACAAGGGCCCGAGCCCUACGGGGUGCAGCAGUCGCGCAACCUUCGCAAUGCACGAAAGUGUGACGAGGGAACUCUGAGUGCCAACCUAACAGUUGGCUUUUAAUCACCUUGAACUGGUGGUUGAAUAAGAAGCGGGUAAUUGCUGUGCCAGCCGCCGCGGUAAAACAGCUGCUUCAAGUGAUACCCACGAAUAUUGAGCCUAAAACGAGUGUAGCGGGCUUUGCCAGUUCCCUGUGAAAUCCACCAACUCAAUUGGUGGGCGCGCAGGGAAUACUACAAGGCUUGGGAAUGGGGGAGGUCAGGGGUACUGUGGGGGGAGGAGUAAAAUCCUUUAAUCCUCGCAGGACCAUCGGUGGCGAAGGCGCCUGACCAAAACAUGUCCGACCGUGAGACUCGAAGGCCAGGGGAGCAAAUCGGAUUAGAUACCCGAGUAGUCCUGGCAGUAAAUUAUGUGGACUAGGCGUUGCCGCCACUACGUGUGGCUGCAGUGCCGCAGCGAAGGCGUUAAGUCCACUGCUUGGGGAGUACGGUCGCAAGACUGAAACUUAAAGGAAUUGGCGGGGGAGCACCACAAGGGGUGGAUGCUGCGGUUCAAUUGGACUCAACGCCGGGAAACUCACCAGGAGAGACGGCAGAAUGAAGCUCAGACUGAAGAUCUUAGCCGACAAGCCGAGAAGUGUUGCAUGGCCAGCGUCAGUUCGUGCCGUGAGGUGUCAGGUUAAGUCCUGCAACGAACGAGAUCUCUGUUAACAGUUGCUACGAUUCGCGCAAGCGGGUCGGCACUCUGUUGAGACUGCCAUCGUUAAGAUGGAGGAAGGAGGAGGCGACGCUAGGUCUGUAUGGCCUGAAUCUCCUGGGCCACACGUGGCAUACAAAGGUGGAGACAAUGCGUUCCGACGCCGAAAGGUGAAGGCAAUCGUCUAAACUCCAUCCCAGUCCAGAUUGGGGGCUGGAACUCGUCCCCAUGAAGUUGGAAUCCCUAGUAAUCGCGUGUCAUCAUCGCGCGGUGAAUAUGUCCCCGCUCCUUGCACACACCGCCCGUCAAGUCAUCCAAGCGAGGUCUUAGUGAGGCCUGCCCUAAGGGCAUGUCGAGCUAGGGCUUCGUGAGGAGGAUUAAGUCGUAACAAGGUAACC